Molecule: ribosomal RNA, 124 nt
Filed under: Xenopus laevis (African clawed frog)
Lineage: Eukaryota; Metazoa; Chordata; Amphibia; Anura; Pipidae
Source: RNAcentral
GCCGACAGCUACUGUACACCACCCUGAAAGAGACUGAUCUCAGCUGAUCUCGGAAGCUAAGCAGUGCUGGGCCUGGUUAGUAUCUGGAUGGGAGACCAUCUUGGAAUACCAGGUGUUGUAGGCU